RNAcentral lists this ribosomal RNA (439 nucleotides) under rape rhizosphere bacterium tsb034. RNAcentral's name for it is "bacterial SSU rRNA". It matches the Rfam family "Bacterial small subunit ribosomal RNA", at positions 26 to 477 of the family's 1533-position model. The record is from RNAcentral.
AGGAUGAACGCUGGCGGCGUGCUUAACACAUGCAAGUCGAACGGUGAAGCCCAGCUUGCUGGGUGGAUCAGUGGCGAACGGGUGAGUAACACGUGAGCAACCUGCCCCUGACUCUGGGAUAARCGCUGGAAACGGCGUCUAAUACUGGAUACGAGUAGCGACCGCAUGGUCAGUUACUGGAAAGAUUUAUUGGUUGGGGAUGGGCUCGCGGCCUAUCAGCUUGUUGGUGAGGUAAUGGCUCACCAAGGCGUCGACGGGUAGCCGGCCUGAGAGGGUGACCGGCCACACUGGGACUGAGACACGGCCCAGACUCCUACGGGAGGCAGCAGUGGGGAAUAUUGCACAAUGGGCGCAAGCCUGAUGCAGCAACGCCGCGUGAGGGAUGACGGCCUUCGGGUUGUAAACCUCUUUUAGCAGGGAAGAAGCGAAAGUGACGGUA